UAAGGAAUAUUGCUCAAUGGGAGAAAUCCUGAAGCAGCAACGCCGCGUGGAGGAUGAAGGGUCUAUGACUUGUAAACUCCUGUAAAGAAGGAAAAAAUUCCCAUUUGAUGGGAGAUGAUGGUACUUCUGGAGUAAGCCCCGGCUAGCUACGUGCCAGCAGCCGCGGUAAUACGUAGGGAGCAAGCGUUGUUCGGAUUUACUGGGCGUAAAGGGCGCGUAGGCGGCGCGGUAAGUCACUUGUGAAAUCUCUGAGCUUAACUCAGAACGGCCAAGUGAUACUGCUGUGCUAGAGUGCGGAAGAGGCGACCGGAAUUCUCGGUGUAGCGGUGAAAUGCGUAGAUAUCAAGAGGAACACCUGAGGCGAAGGCGGGUUGCUGGGCCGACACUGACGCUGAUGCGCGAAAGCCAGGGGAGCAAACG
Molecule: ribosomal RNA, 420 nt
Filed under: uncultured bacterium
Lineage: Bacteria
Description: bacterial SSU rRNA
Rfam family: Bacterial small subunit ribosomal RNA
Source: RNAcentral